GGCUGGUCCGAUGGGUUAUCAGAACUUAUUAACAUUAGUGUCACUAAAGUUGGUAUACCACCCCCCCCACUGCUAAAUUUGACUGGCUUUAA
Molecule: unclassified non-coding RNA, 92 nt
Organism: Cavia porcellus (domestic guinea pig)
Lineage: Eukaryota; Metazoa; Chordata; Mammalia; Rodentia; Caviidae
Rfam family: Y RNA
About the family: Y RNAs are components of the Ro ribonucleoprotein particle (Ro RNP), in association with Ro60 and La proteins.
Source: Ensembl